AGACCAGCAUAUGAACGAUGAUC
RNAcentral lists this microRNA (23 nucleotides) under Oreochromis niloticus (Nile tilapia). RNAcentral describes it as "oni-miR-10807". Lineage: Eukaryota; Metazoa; Chordata; Actinopteri; Cichliformes; Cichlidae. The record is from miRBase by way of RNAcentral.